RNAcentral lists this ribosomal RNA (497 nucleotides) under uncultured bacterium. RNAcentral's name for it is "partial 16S ribosomal RNA". It matches the Rfam family "Bacterial small subunit ribosomal RNA", at positions 28 to 507 of the family's 1533-position model. The record is from RNAcentral.
GACGAACGCUGGCGGCGUGCCUAAUACAUGCAAGUUGAGCGAUGAAGUUUGGUGCUUGCACCAAUUUGAAGAGCAGCGAACGGGUGAGUAACGCGUGGGGAAUCUGCCUUUGAGCGGGGGACAACAUUUGGAAACGAAUGCUAAUACCGCAUAAUAACUUUAAACAUAAGUUUUAAGUUUGAAAGAUGCAAUUGCAUCACUCAAAGAUGAUCCCGCGUUGUAUUAGCUAGUUGGUGAGGUAAAGGCUCACCAAGGCGAUGAUACAUAGCCGACCUGAGAGGGUGAUCGGCCACAUUGGGACUGAGACACGGCCCAAACUCCUACGGGAGGCAGCAGUAGGGAAUCUUCGGCAAUGGACGAAAGUCUGACCGAGCAACGCCGCGUGAGUGAAGAAGGUUGUCGGAUCGUAAAACUCUGUUGGUAGAGAAGAACGUUGGUGAGAGUGGAAAGCUCAUCAAGUGACGGUAACUACCCAGAAAGGGACGGCUAACUACGUG